AAGGAUCAUUAUCGAGUUUUGAACGGGUUGUCUGCUGGCUCGCAAGGGCAUGUGCACGCCUGUCUCAUCCACUCUCAACUUCUGUGCACUUUUCAUAGGCCGGCUUGUGGGUGCGUUCGCGCACUUGUAGGUGUCGGGCUUAUGCUUUAUUACAAACGAUUCAGUUUUAGAAUGUCAUACUUUGCUAUAACGCAAUUUAUAUACAACUUUCAGCAACGGAUCUCUUGGCUCUCGCAUCGAUGAAGAACGCAGCGAAAUGCGAUAAGUAAUGUGAAUUGCAGAAUUCAGUGAAUCAUCGAAUCUUUGAACGCACCUUGCGCUCCUUGGUAUUCCGAGGAGCAUGCCUGUUUGAGUCUCAUGGAAUUCUCAACCUUCGGCUUCAUUGACGAAGGCUUGGACUUGGAGGUCGUGCCGGCUCUCGUAGUCGGCUCCUCUGAAAUGCAUUAGUGCGAACGUUACCGACCGCUUCAGCGUGAUAAUUAUCUGCGUUGCUGUGGAGGGUAUUCUAGUGUUCACGCUUCUAACCGUCUUCGGACAAAUUUCUGAACUCUGAGCUCAAAUCAGGUAGGACUACCCGCUGAACUUAA
RNAcentral lists this ribosomal RNA (587 nucleotides) under uncultured fungus. Its description in RNAcentral is "eukaryotic LSU rRNA". The stretch from base 205 to 358 matches the Rfam family "5.8S ribosomal RNA". The record is from RNAcentral. Lineage: Eukaryota; Fungi.